AGAGGUGACAAGCGUUGUUCGGAAUUACUGGGCGUAAAGGGCGCGUAGGCGGUCUUGUCAGUCCCUUGUGAAAUCCCCCGGCUCAACUGGGGAACUGCAAGGGGAACAGCAGGGCUUGAGUUCGGGAGGGGGUAGCGGAAUUCCCAGUGUAGCGGUGAAAUGCGUAGAUAUUGGGAGGAACACCGGUGGCGAAGGCGGCUACCUGGACCGGUUCUGACGCUGAUGCGCGAAAGCGUGGGUAGCAAACAGGAUUAGAUACGCUGGUAGUCCACGCCGUAAACUAUGGGUGCCAGCCGUCGGUGAGCUUGCUCAUCGGUGGCGCAGCUAACGCUUUAAGCACCCCGCCUGGGGAGUACGGUCGCAAGAUUA
This 369-nucleotide ribosomal RNA is filed under the name uncultured bacterium. RNAcentral's name for it is "bacterial SSU rRNA". It matches the Rfam family "Bacterial small subunit ribosomal RNA", at positions 527 to 896 of the family's 1533-position model. The record is from RNAcentral.